RNAcentral lists this ribosomal RNA (420 nucleotides) under uncultured bacterium. RNAcentral describes it as "bacterial SSU rRNA". It matches the Rfam family "Bacterial small subunit ribosomal RNA", at positions 355 to 774 of the family's 1533-position model. The record is from RNAcentral.
UAAGGAAUAUUGCUCAAUGGGAGAAAUCCUGAAGCAGCAACGCCGCGUGGAGGAUGAAGGGUCUAUGACUUGUAAACUCCUGUAAAGAAGGAAAAAAUUCCCAUUUGAUGGGAGAUGAUGGUACUUCUGGAGUAAGCCCCGGCUAACUACGUGCCAGCAGCCGCGGUAAUACGUAGGGGGCAAGCGUUGUCCGGAUUUACUGGGUGUAAAGGGUGCUCAGGCGGAUUUGUAAGUCAGAGGUGAAAUCUUACAGCUUAACGGUGAAACUGCCUUUGAUACUGCAAGCCUAGAGUAUGGAAGAGAGUGAUGGAAUAUCUGGUGUAGCAGUGAAAUGCGUAGAUAUCAGAUAGAACACCAAUGGCGAAGGCAGUCACUUGGUCCAUUACUGACGCUAAAGCACGAAAGCGUGGGUAGCAAACA